CGGACGGGUGAGUAAUGUCUGGGAAACUGCCUGAUGGAGGGGGAUAACUACUGGAAACGGUAGCUAAUACCGCAUAACGUCGCAAGACCAAAGUGGGGGACCUUCGGGCCUCUUGCCUUCGGAUGUGCCCAGAUGGGAUUAGCUAGUAGGUGGGGUAACGGCUCACCUAGGCGACGAUCCCUAGCUGGUCUGAGAGGAUGCCAGCCACACUGGAACUGAGACACGGUCCAG
RNAcentral lists this ribosomal RNA (231 nucleotides) under uncultured bacterium. Its description in RNAcentral is "partial 16S ribosomal RNA". It matches the Rfam family "Bacterial small subunit ribosomal RNA", at positions 99 to 334 of the family's 1533-position model. The record is from RNAcentral.